UACGGAGGGUGCAAACGUUGCUCGGAAUCAUUGGGCGUAAAGCGCACGUAGGCGGCCUUUUAAGUCGGGUGUGAAAGCCCUCGGCUCAACCGAGGAAGUGCAUUCGAAACUGAGGGGCUUGAAUACUGGAGAGGAUGGCGGAAUUCCCGGUGUAGAGGUGAAAUUCGUAGAUAUCGGGAGGAACACCAGCGGCGAAGGCGGCCAUCUGGACAGAUAUUGACGCUGAUGUGCGAAAGCGUGGGGAGCAAACGGG
This 253-nucleotide ribosomal RNA is filed under the name uncultured bacterium. RNAcentral describes it as "partial 16S ribosomal RNA". It matches the Rfam family "Bacterial small subunit ribosomal RNA", at positions 524 to 776 of the family's 1533-position model. The record is from RNAcentral.